Molecule: long non-coding RNA, 371 nt
Filed under: Triticum aestivum (bread wheat)
Lineage: Eukaryota; Viridiplantae; Streptophyta; Magnoliopsida; Poales; Poaceae
Description: long non-coding RNA (TAES_LNC014744)
Source: RNAcentral
AUCACUUGCAAUAUUGGCAGCACACACGCAACGAGUAAUUAAUUCUACAGCAGUGUUCGGGGGCUAAGUAGAUGUGCACCCAGACAAAGACGUAAAAACAGUACAGGUAAACAGAGUGCAGAACAAUCAGCAUACAAUGCAAACAGAGUGCAGAACAGAGUGCAGAACAAUCAGCAUACAAUGCAAACAGUCUCAGAACUCGUAAUAUGCCAACAGACGGUACGAAGCUUAGUUCGACACAAGUAUAAGUCAUCAUCUUACAUGAGACACCAUUCCCAACCAGCGAGCAGAACGUGUCCUUCAGUUCAGCACGUUGAUAAAGAAACGGUAGGAUACAAUCGAGUAGGGAUUAUUGAGUAGAAAGCCUUCAG